Molecule: ribosomal RNA, 648 nt
Filed under: uncultured Zoogloea sp.
Lineage: Bacteria; Pseudomonadati; Pseudomonadota; Betaproteobacteria; Rhodocyclales; Zoogloeaceae
Description: bacterial SSU rRNA
Rfam family: Bacterial small subunit ribosomal RNA
Source: RNAcentral
AGCGGCGAACGGGUGAGUAAUGCAUCGGAACGUACCGUGUAGUGGGGGAUAACGUAGCGAAAGUUACGCUAAUACCGCAUACGCCCUGAGGGGGAAAGUGGGGGACCGCAAGGCCUCACGCUAUAUGAGCGGCCGAUGUCGGAUUAGCUAGUUGGUAGGGUAAAGGCCUACCAAGGCGACGAUCCGUAGCGGGUCUGAGAGGAUGAUCCGCCACACUGGGACUGAGACACGGCCCAGACUCCUACGGGAGGCAGCAGUGGGGAAUUUUGGACAAUGGGCGCAAGCCUGAUCCAGCCAUGCCGCGUGAGUGAAGAAGGCCUUCGGGUUGUAAAGCUCUUUCAGACGGAAAGAAAUCUCUCGGGAUAACACCCUGGGAGGAUGACGGUACCGUAAGAAGAAGCACCGGCUAACUACGUGCCAGCAGCCGCGGUAAUACGUAGGGUGCGAGCGUUAAUCGGAAUUACUGGGCGUAAAGCGUGCGCAGGCGGUGAUGUAAGACAGAUGUGAAAUCCCCGGGCUCAACCUGGGAACUGCGUUUGUGACUGCAUCACUCGAGUACGGCAGAGGGAGGUGGAAUUCCGCGUGUAGCAGUGAAAUGCGUAGAUAUGCGGAGGAACACCGAUGGCGAACGCAGCCUCCUGGGCCAGU